UUAACAUCUCUGAAAGGUACGGAUACAAGUUAUCUACAGGGUAACACCUGUAGAUAUGAUGCAACAGGCUUAUGCCAUUGGAGAGUGAAUAGUCAACCUUCUGAAAACAGUGUACACCACCGGAAGGGCAAGAAAAAAAACUACAAUAUAGAACAUCUUUCUGACCUUGAGGUCAGGAAGUCCUCCUCGACAAGACACAAAAAAGAAAAAUCACAAAGGAAAAGAAUGACAACUUGACUCCAUCAAAAUUAAAAACAGAUAUUGCAUUUUUUUCCAGAUUGAAGGUUUGUGGCAACCCUGCAUCAAGCAAGUCUAUAAGCAUCAUUUUUC
RNAcentral lists this long non-coding RNA (330 nucleotides) under Homo sapiens (human). RNAcentral describes it as "non-protein coding lnc-CCNH-1:2". The record is from RNAcentral. Lineage: Eukaryota; Metazoa; Chordata; Mammalia; Primates; Hominidae.